AACGCACCUUGCACUCCUUGGUAUUCCGAGGAGUAUGCCUGUUUGAGUGUCAUGAAAUUUUCAAAGCCCUGCUGGCUUAUACCAAAGUCGGUCAGAGCGUUUGGAUUUGUGGAGGUUGCUGGACAGUUUAACUAUCAGCUCUUCUGAAAUUCAUUAGCAAAACCUUUACUGGCUAUAUUCCAUGGUAUGAUAAUUAUCUAUACCACUUGGAUAUCCAGGCUUUCUUGAUUGAGAGAGUGUGUGUGUUUUGCUUUCAAAUUGUCUUGGUUCAAGACAAAUCAUCGAACGUUUUGACCUCAAAUCAGGUAGGACUACCCGCUGAACUUAA
RNAcentral lists this unclassified non-coding RNA (328 nucleotides) under uncultured fungus. RNAcentral describes it as "sequence contains ITS2". The stretch from base 1 to 52 matches the Rfam family "5.8S ribosomal RNA", at positions 103 to 154 of the family's 154-position model. The record is from RNAcentral. Lineage: Eukaryota; Fungi.